UAGGGAAUCUUCGGCAAUGGGGGCAACCCUGACCGAGCAACGCCGCGUGAGUGAAGAAGGUUUUCGGAUCGUAAAGCUCUGUUGUAAGAGAAGAACGUGUGUGAGAGUGGAAAGUUCACACAGUGACGAUAACUUACCAGAAAGGGACGGCUAACUACGUGCCAGCAGCCGCGGUAAUACGUAGGUCCCGAGCGUUGUCCGGAUUUAUUGGGCGUAAAGCGAGCGCAGGCGGUUUAAUAAGUCUGAAGUUAAAGGCAGUGGCUUAACCAUUGUUCGCUUUGGAAACUGUUAAACUUGAGUGCAGAAGGGGAGAGUGGAAUUCCAUGUGUAGCGGUGAAAUGCGUAGAUAUAUGGAGGAACACCGGUGGCGAAAGCGGCUCUCUGGUCUGUAACUGACGCUGAGGCUCGAAAGCGUGGGGAGCAAACAGG
RNAcentral lists this ribosomal RNA (429 nucleotides) under bacterium. RNAcentral's name for it is "partial 16S ribosomal RNA". It matches the Rfam family "Bacterial small subunit ribosomal RNA", at positions 355 to 776 of the family's 1533-position model. The record is from RNAcentral.